This 539-nucleotide ribosomal RNA is filed under the name uncultured bacterium. Its description in RNAcentral is "bacterial SSU rRNA". It matches the Rfam family "Bacterial small subunit ribosomal RNA", at positions 772 to 1324 of the family's 1533-position model. The record is from RNAcentral.
ACCCAAUAGAUACCCGGGUAGUCCACGCCGUAAACGAUGAGUACUAGGUGUAGGGGGUAUCGACCCCCUCUGUGCCGAAAGCUAAACGCGAUAAAGUACUCCGCCUGGGGACUACGGCCGCAAGGCUAAACUCAAAGGAAUUGACGGGGCCCGCACAAGCAGCGGAGCGUGUGGUUUAAUUCGAUGGUACGCGAAGAACCUCACCCAGGUUUGACAUGCAUGUGGUACUGAUGUGAAAGCUGAUGGACCCUUCGGGGAGCAUGCACAGGUGUUGCACGGCCGUCGUCAGCUCGUGCCGUGAGGUGUUGGGUUAAGUCCCGCAACGAGCGCAACCCUGUCGCCAGUUGUAUUUUCUGGCGAGACUGCCGAGAAAACCUCGGAGGAAGGAGGGGACGAUGUCAGGUCAGCGUGGCCCUUACGCCUGGGGCUACACACACGCUACAAUGGGUGGUACAACGGGCAGCCAAGCCGCGAGGCGGAGCUAAUCCCAUCAAAACCAUCCUCAGUUCGGAUUGCAGGCUGAAACUCGCCUGCAUGAA